GACGAACGCUGGCGGCGUGCCUAACACAUGCAAGUCGAACGGGACCAGGGGCAACUCUGGUUCAGUGGCGGACGGGUGCGUAACACGUGAGGAACAUGACCUUCGGCGGGGGAGUAGCCGGCCCAACGGCCGGGUAAUACCGCGUACGACCUUUCGGGGACAUCCCUGGAUGGUGAAAGCAGCAAUGCGCCGAUGGAGUGCCUCGCGGCCUAUCAGCUAGUUGGUGAGGUAACGGCUCACCAAGGCGACGACGGGUAGCUGGUCUGAGAGGAUGGCCAGCCACAUUGGGACUGAGACACGGCCCAGACUCCUACGGGAGGCAGCAGUGGGGAAUAUUGCGCAAUGGACGAAAGUCUGACGCAGCGACGCCGCG
Molecule: ribosomal RNA, 373 nt
Filed under: uncultured bacterium
Lineage: Bacteria
Description: bacterial SSU rRNA
Rfam family: Bacterial small subunit ribosomal RNA
Source: RNAcentral